RNAcentral lists this unclassified non-coding RNA (352 nucleotides) under soil metagenome. RNAcentral's name for it is "partial contains 5.8S ribosomal RNA, internal transcribed spacer 2, and large subunit ribosomal RNA". The stretch from base 1 to 120 matches the Rfam family "5.8S ribosomal RNA", at positions 35 to 154 of the family's 154-position model. The record is from RNAcentral.
GAUGAAGAACGUAGCAAAAUGCGAAAAGUAAUGUGAAUUGCAGAAUUCAGUGAAUCAUCGAAUCUUUGAACGCACAUUGCGCCCGCUGGUACUCCGGCGGGCACGCCUGUCCGAGCGUCAUUUCAACCCUCAAGCCCUCCUUCGGGAUGGGCCUGGUGUUGGGGCUCGGCCGCCAUCUCCGGCGGCCGUCCCCUAAAUACAGUGGCGGUCACGUCGCGACUCCUUUGCGUAGUAGAAACACCUCGCUCCGGAUAGCAACGCGGUCCACGCCGUAAAACCCCCAAUUUUCAAUGGUUGACCUCGGAUCAGGUGGGAAUACCCGCUGAACUUAAGCAUAUCAAUAAGCGGAGGA